This 308-nucleotide long non-coding RNA is filed under the name Nicotiana benthamiana. RNAcentral describes it as "long non-coding RNA (NBEN_LNC005262)". The record is from RNAcentral. Lineage: Eukaryota; Viridiplantae; Streptophyta; Magnoliopsida; Solanales; Solanaceae.
UGGGCACUUAAUUGAUAAGUGCUACAAGAUACAUGGGUUCCCUCAAAGCAUAAAUUACAACAAGGGAAGGAAAUCUGCAGCUGCUCAUGUCUCCAUUGGUGUUGAAUGUGUGUUUGUUAAUCAUGAGAAUCCUAAUUUGUCUGAUCCUCUUGGGGAUCCAUCUGCCAGCCACAUAGAUGGUCAUAGUUCUGUGAUACCAGGGUUGAGCAGACAUCACUAUGAUCAAUUGAUGAGCCUGUUGCAACAGACCAAGUUAGGGGAUUCCAGUGGUCAAGCUCCUCCUCCCAUGUGUGCUGCUAAUUUUGNNN